GUUUUGAGUUUGGAAUUCUUCAGGGGUACAGUGUUUUGAGCUUGGAAUUCUUCAGGGGUAAAUGAUUUUGAGUUUGGAAUUCUUCAGGGGUACAGUGUUUUGAAUUUGGAAUUCUUCAGGGGUAAAGGAGUUUGAGUUUGGAAUUCUUCAGGGGUACAGUGUUUUGAGCUUGGAAUUCUUCAGGGGUAAAGGAUUUUGAGUUUGGAAUUCUUCGGGGGUACAGUGUGUUGAGCUUGGAAUUCUUAAGGGGUAAAAGAUUUUGAGUUUGGAAUUCUUCAGGGGUACAGUGUUUUGAGCUUGGAAUUCUUCAGGGGUAAAGGAUUUUGAGUUUGGAAUUCUUCAGGGGUACAGUGUUUUGAGCUUGGAAUUCUUCAGGGGUAAAGGAUUUUGAGUUUGGAAUUCUUCAGGGUUACAGUGUUUUGAGUUUGGAAUUCUUAAGGGGUAAAGGAUUUUGAGUUUGGAAUUCUUCAGGGGUACAGUGUUUUGAGCUUGGAAUUCUUCAGGGGUAAAUGAUUUUGAGUUUGGAAUUCUUCAGGGGUACAGUGUUUUGAAUUUGGAAAUCUUCAGGGGUAAAGGAGUUUGAGUUUGGAAUUCUUCAGGGGUACAGUGUUUUGAGCUUGGAAUUCUUCAGGGGUAAAGUGUUUUGAGCUUGGAAUUCUUCAGGGGUAGGGUGUUUUGAGCUUGGAAUUUUUCAGGGGUAGGGUGUUUUGAGCUUGGAAUUCUUCAGGGGUACAGUGUUUUGAGCUUGGAAUUCUUCAGGGGUAAAGUGUUUUCAGCUUGGAAUUCUUCAGGGGUAAAGUGCUUUGAGCUUGGAAUUCUUCAGGGGUAGGGUGUUU
RNAcentral lists this long non-coding RNA (836 nucleotides) under Paramuricea clavata. Lineage: Eukaryota; Metazoa; Cnidaria; Anthozoa; Malacalcyonacea; Plexauridae. The record is from RNAcentral.